Molecule: ribosomal RNA, 425 nt
Filed under: uncultured Hyphomicrobium sp.
Lineage: Bacteria; Pseudomonadati; Pseudomonadota; Alphaproteobacteria; Hyphomicrobiales; Hyphomicrobiaceae
Description: bacterial SSU rRNA
Rfam family: Bacterial small subunit ribosomal RNA
Source: RNAcentral
GUGGGGAAUAUUGGACAAUGGGCGCAAGCCUGAUCCAGCCAUGCCGCGUGAGUGACGAAGGCCUUAGGGUUGUAAAGCUCUUUUGGCGGGGACGAUAAUGACGGUACCCGCAGAAUAAGCCCCGGCUAACUUCGUGCCAGCAGCCGCGGUAAUACGAAGGGGGCUAGCGUUGUUCGGAAUUACUGGGCGUAAAGCGCACGUAGGCGGAUUUGUUAGUCAGGGGUGAAAUCCCGGGGCUCAACCUCGGAACUGCCUUUGAUACUGCAAGUCUUGAGUCCGGAAGAGGUGAGUGGAAUUCCUAGUGUAGAGGUGAAAUUCGUAGAUAUUAGGAAGAACACCAGUGGCGAAGGCGGCUCACUGGUCCGGUACUGACGCUGAGGUGCGAAAGCGUGGGGAGCAAACAGGAUUAGAAACCCUAGUAGUCC